UCAAAUGUGAUGUUUAUCAUAAUUCAUGAAAAGUGUAUCUUGAAGAUUCAUCCACUUCAAAGUGUCAGAGUCCGAACACAAAUCUAGAAUUCAAAUGCGAUCUUUCUAGAUUUGUGUUCGGACUCUGACACUUUGAAGUGGAUGAAUCUUCAAGAUACACUUUUCCUGAAUUAUGAUAAACAUCGCAUUUGA
Arabidopsis thaliana x Arabidopsis arenosa is the source of this 192-nucleotide non-coding RNA. NCBI's taxonomy places the organism in Eukaryota, Viridiplantae, Streptophyta, Magnoliopsida, Brassicales, Brassicaceae. The record is from the annotation of a GenBank genome assembly.